AUACCAUGAUGAUGACAUUUUCUGAGUAAUUCCUUAAAUCUUUCCCAUGCGUCGUACAAACUUUCAUCCUCAAGUUAAUGGAAAAAUGUUAUUUCAUUCCUCAAUUU
This 107-nucleotide small nucleolar RNA is filed under the name Citrus sinensis (sweet orange). RNAcentral describes it as "Plant small nucleolar RNA R71". It matches the Rfam family "Plant small nucleolar RNA R71". Rfam says of the family: R71 is a member of the C/D box family of snoRNAs containing the C (UGAUGA) and D (CUGA) box motifs. The record is from Rfam by way of RNAcentral. Lineage: Eukaryota; Viridiplantae; Streptophyta; Magnoliopsida; Sapindales; Rutaceae.